RNAcentral lists this ribosomal RNA (912 nucleotides) under uncultured crenarchaeote. RNAcentral's name for it is "bacterial SSU rRNA". It matches the Rfam family "Archaeal small subunit ribosomal RNA", at positions 1 to 922 of the family's 1478-position model. Lineage: Archaea; Thermoproteati; Thermoproteota. The record is from RNAcentral.
UUCCGGUUGAUCCUGCCGGACCCGACUGCUAUCAGAGUGGGACUAAGCCAUGCGAGUCAACGCCGCAAGGCGUGGCAUACGGCUCAGUAACACGUAGUCAACAUGCCCAGGGGACGUGGAUAACCUCGGGAAACUGAGGAUAAACCGCGAUAGGCUAAGGUUUCUGGAAUGGACCAUGGCUGAAACCUAUACGGCCCCUGGAUUGGACUGCGGCCGAUCAGGCUGUUGGUGAGGUAAUGGCCCACCAAACCUGUAACCGGUACGGGCUUUGAGAGAAGGAGCCCGGAGAUGGGCACUGAGACAAGGGCCCAGGCCCUAUGGGGCGCAGCAGGCGCGAAACCUCUGCAAUAGGCGAAAGCUUGACAGGGUUACUCUGAGUGAUGCCCGCUAAGGGCAUCUUUUGGCACCUCUAAAAAUGGUGCAGAAUAAGGGGUGGGCAAGUCUGGUGUCAGCCGCCGCGGUAAUACCAGCACCCCGAGUGGUCGGGACGAUUAUUGGGCCUAAAGCAUCCGUAGCUUGUUCUGCAAGUCCUCCGUUAAAUCCACCUGCUCAACAGAUGGGCUGCGGAGGAUACUACAGGGCUAGGAGGCGGGAGAGGCAAGCGGUACUCAGUGGGUAGGGGUAAAAUCCUCUGAUCCACUGAAGACCACCAGUGGCGAAGGCGGCUUGCCAGAACGCGCUCGACGGUGAGGGAUGAAAGCUGGGGGAGCAAACCGGAUUAGAUACCCGGGUAGUCCCAGCUGUAAACGAUGCAGACUCGGUGAUGGGUUGGCUUUGAGCCAACCCAGUGCCGCAGGGAAGCCGUUAAGUCUGCCGCCUGGGGAGUACGGUCGCAAGACUGAAACUUAAAGGAAUUGGCGGGGGAGCACCACAAGGGGUGAAGCCUGCGGUUCAAUUGGAGUCAACGCCGGA